Molecule: small RNA, 544 nt
Filed under: Pan troglodytes (chimpanzee)
Lineage: Eukaryota; Metazoa; Chordata; Mammalia; Primates; Hominidae
Description: retained intron
Source: RNAcentral
UAGAUUCCGGAGUCUGUCUCGAUUUCUCCAGCGGAGUCACUUCCUAGCUGUGCAGCCUUAGGCAAGGCCCUGAACCACACAUUUCCCUUCUGUGGCAGGGGACAGUGUGCCCUUCACAGGCCGUCGUGAGGACUGAAUUCAGUAAUCCAGGGGCAGAAAAACACUGGCAGAUGUUAUUGUCCCUCCCUUCCCUCCCUCCCCUCCCCUAGGCGGCCGUGGCUCUGAGGGACAUUUCCUGGCAGCAGCCCUACCCGAUGGACUUCUACGCUGGCAGCUCUUUGGGGCCCUGGACGGUGAACCACGGCCAGGACCGCCGUCCCCACGCCCCGGGCCGGCCCGCGCGGGGGAAGGUGCAGGAGGGGUCCGCGCGUCCCCCUUCAGCCGUGGCUUGCGAGGAUUGCAGCUGCAGGGACGAGAAGGUGGCGCCGCUGGCUCCUUGACGUGCUCCGGGGCCUCAGGGUCCUGCCCUCCGGAGGAGCAGCCUCGAGGCUGGUGGUUUUCAGAGCAGGAGGCCGACGUUUUCUCCGCAUUGGAAGAGCCCGCC